CGGCGUCCAUGAUGUUUUACAAUUACCUACAUUGUUUGAUCCUCAUGAAAACAGCCCUGGCUGAGACGCCU
Lemur catta (Ring-tailed lemur) is the source of this 71-nucleotide small nucleolar RNA. RefSeq annotates it as small nucleolar RNA SNORD34. The transcript has a single exon. Lineage: Eukaryota; Metazoa; Chordata; Mammalia; Primates; Lemuridae. The record is from RefSeq and is a predicted model, not a curated record.